RNAcentral lists this long non-coding RNA (422 nucleotides) under Olea europaea (common olive). RNAcentral describes it as "long non-coding RNA (OEUR_LNC013878)". Lineage: Eukaryota; Viridiplantae; Streptophyta; Magnoliopsida; Lamiales; Oleaceae. The record is from RNAcentral.
GAAUCAAAUCUUUCAUUGCAUCUAAUAUCAUAAUGCUUGGUGCAAGUUUUUAGAUAAAAAAUUAACCAAAAAUUUCGCCCAGAUCCUAAAAAGCUCCAAUUUCAAUAAAAUCAAUCACUGGCUAGACGAAUGGAGGUUAGACCUAGACUUAGCAAGUAGAGUCACUCUUCUCUAUAUGGCGAGUGUUGCAGUGGUGCGUGGAGGUAUUUUUGAAGUUGCUCUUUUCAAAUAGAUUCUUUCUUUUAUCAUUCUGAACGUUUUUAUAUUGCUACUUUUUUGUUACAGGUUUGUACGGUUUUACCCCUGGACGCUCAACUUAUGAUUACUAGUCAAUCGUGUUAGUACAUUUGCUGAAACUUUAGGGCGAGUAGUAGCGGCCAUAAAGCAGGAGAGUCACAUCUUUGGAUAUUUAAGGACAUGGU